Molecule: transfer RNA, 85 nt
Filed under: Alphaproteobacteria bacterium
Lineage: Bacteria; Pseudomonadati; Pseudomonadota; Alphaproteobacteria
Description: tRNA-Leu
Rfam family: tRNA
About the family: Transfer RNA (tRNA) molecules are approximately 80 nucleotides in length.
Source: RNAcentral
GCCCGCUUGGUGGAAUGGUAGACACAACAGACUUAAAAUCUGUCGGCCUUCGGUCGUGCCAGUUCGAGUCUGGCAGCGGGCACCA